GACGAACGCUGGCGGCGUGCUUAACACAUGCAAGUCGAACGGAAAGGCCCCUUUGGGGGUACUCGAGUGGCGAACGGGUGCGUAACACGUGCGUAACCUGCCCUUGACUUCGGGAUAACUUCAGGAAACUGGGGCUAAUACCGGAUAGGAAUCCUUGCUGCAUGGUGGGGGUUGGAAAGCUUCGGCGGUUUUGGCUGGACUCGCGGCUUAUCCGCUUGUUGGUGGGGUAGUGGCUUACCAAGGCUUUGACGUGUAGCCGGCCUGAGAGGGCGACCGGCCACAUUGGGACUGAGAUACGGCCCAGACUCCUACGGGAGGCAGCAGUGGGGAAUAUUGCACAAUGGGCGGAAGCCUGAUGCAGCAACGCCGCGUGCGGGAUGACGGCCUUCGGGUUGUAAACCGCUUUCAGCAGGGGCGAAGCUUGUGGUGACGGUACCUGCAGAAGAAGCACCGGCUAACUACGUG
RNAcentral lists this ribosomal RNA (465 nucleotides) under uncultured bacterium. RNAcentral's name for it is "partial 16S ribosomal RNA". It matches the Rfam family "Bacterial small subunit ribosomal RNA", at positions 28 to 507 of the family's 1533-position model. The record is from RNAcentral.